RNAcentral lists this ribosomal RNA (1420 nucleotides) under uncultured organism. Its description in RNAcentral is "partial small subunit ribosomal RNA". It matches the Rfam family "Bacterial small subunit ribosomal RNA". The record is from RNAcentral.
UACACAUGCAAGUCGAACGGAAAGGCCCUGCUUUUGUGGGGUGCUCGAGUAGCGAACGGGUGAGUAACACGUGAGUAACCUGCCCUUGACUUUGGGAUAACUUCAGGAAACUGGGGCUAAUACCGGAUAGGAGCUCCUGCUGCAUGGUGGGGGUUGGAAAGUUUCGGCGGUUGGGGAUGGACUCGCGGCUUAUCAGCUUGUUGGUGGGGUAGUGGCUUACCAAGGCUUUGACGGGUAGCCGGCCUGAGAGGGUGACCGGCCACAUUGGGACUGAGAUACGGCCCAGACUCCUACGGGAGGCAGCAGUGGGGAAUAUUGCACAAUGGGCGGAAGCCUGAUGCAGCAACGCCGCGUGCGGGAUGACGGCCUUCGGGUUGUAAACCGCUUUCGCCUGUGACGAAGCGUGAGUGACGGUAAUGGGUAAAGAAGCACCGGCUAACUACGUGCCAGCAGCCGCGGUGAUACGUAGGGUGCGAGCGUUGUCCGGAUUUAUUGGGCGUAAAGGGCUCGUAGGUGGUUGAUCGCGUCGGAAGUGUAAUCUUGGGGCUUAACCCUGAGCGUGCUUUCGAUACGGGUUGACUUGAGGAAGGUAGGGGAGAAUGGAAUUCCUGGUGGAGCGGUGGAAUGCGCAGAUAUCAGGAGGAACACCAGUGGCGAAGGCGGUUCUCUGGGCCUUUCCUGACGCUGAGGAGCGAAAGCGUGGGGAGCGAACAGGCUUAGAUACCCUGGUAGUCCACGCUGUAAACGGUGGGUACUAGGUGUGGGGUCCAUUCCACGGGUUCCGUGCCGUAGCUAACGCUUUAAGUACCCCGCCUGGGGAGUACGGCCGCAAGGCUAAAACUCAAAGGAAUUGACGGGGCCCCGCACAAGCGGCGGAGCAUGCGGAUUAAUUCGAUGCAACGCGUAGAACCUUACCUGGGUUUGACAUGGAUCGGGAGUGCUCAGAGAUGGGUGUGCCUCUUUUGGGGUCGGUUCACAGGUGGUGCAUGGCUGUCGUCAGCUCGUGUCGUGAGAUGUUGGGUUAAGUCCCGCAACGAGCGCAACCCUUGUUCACUGUUGCCAGCACGUUAUGGUGGGGACUCAGUGGAGACCGCCGGGGUCAACUCGGAGGAAGGUGGGGAUGACGUCAAGUCAUCAUGCCCCUUAUGUCCAGGGCUUCACGCAUGCUACAAUGGCUGGUACAGAGAGUGGCGAGCCUGUGAGGGUGAGCGAAUCUCGGAAAGCCGGUCUCAGUUCGGAUUGGGGUCUGCAACUCGACCUCAUGAAGUCGGAGUCGCUAGUAAUCGCAGAUCAGCAACGCUGCGGUGAAUACGUUCCCGGGGCUUGUACACACCGCCCGUCAAGUCAUGAAAGUUGGUAACACCCGAAGCCGGUGGCCUAACCGUUGUGGGGGAGCCGUCGAAGGUGGGACUGGUGAUUA